RNAcentral lists this ribosomal RNA (497 nucleotides) under uncultured bacterium. Its description in RNAcentral is "partial 16S ribosomal RNA". It matches the Rfam family "Bacterial small subunit ribosomal RNA", at positions 28 to 507 of the family's 1533-position model. The record is from RNAcentral.
GAUGAACGCUGGCGGCGUGCCUAAUACAUGCAAGUCGAGCGAACAGAUGAGGAGCUUGCUCCUCUGACGUUAGCGGCGGACGGGUGAGUAACACGUGGAUAACCUACCUAUAAGACUGGGAUAACUUCGGGAAACCGGAGCUAAUACCGGAUAAUAUAUUGAACCGCAUGGUUCAAUAGUGAAAGACGGUUUUGCUGUCACUUAUAGAUGGAUCCGCGCCGCAUUAGCUAGUUGGUAAGGUAACGGCUUACCAAGGCAACGAUGCGUAGCCGACCUGAGAGGGUGAUCGGCCACACUGGAACUGAGACACGGUCCAGACUCCUACGGGAGGCAGCAAUAGGGAAUCUUCCGCAAUGGGCGAAAGCCCGACGGAGCAACGCCGCGUGAGUGAUGAAGGUCUUCGGAUCGUAAAACUCUGUUAUUAGGGAAGAACAAAUGUGUAAGUAACUAUGCACGUCUUGACGGUACCUGAUCAGAAAGCCACGGCUAACUACGUG